This is a small nucleolar RNA of Hippopotamus amphibius kiboko, 135 nucleotides long. RefSeq annotates it as small nucleolar RNA SNORA70. The transcript has a single exon. The record is from RefSeq and is a predicted model, not a curated record. Lineage: Eukaryota; Metazoa; Chordata; Mammalia; Artiodactyla; Hippopotamidae.
UUGAAGCCAAUUUAGCCAAGUGUGCUCCUUUCCCCAUGGGAGCCUGGUGUGCACUGGCUGCAAACAGCAGCCUCCUCGGCAAUGUAUGCAGCCUGUCGCCUGCUAGGGUUGCCCUAAGGGACCUUGGAAACAGCC